GACGAACGCUGGCGGCGUGCUUAACACAUGCAAGUCGAACGGAAAGGCCCUGCUUUUGUGGGGUGCUCGAGUGGCGAACGGGUGAGUAACACGUGAGUAACCUCCCCUUGACUUUGUGAUAACUUCAGGAAACUGGGGCUAAUACCGGAUAGGAGCUCCUGCUGCAUGGUGGGGGUUGGAAAGUUUCGGCGGUUGGGGAUGGACUCGCGGCUUAUCAGCUUGUUGGUGGGGUAGUUGAUUACCAAGGCUUUGACGGGUAGCCGGCCUGAGAGGGUGACCGGCCACAUUGGGACUGAGAUACGGCCCAGACUCCUACGGGAGGCAGCGGUGGGGAAUAUUGCACAAUGGGCGGAAGCCUGAUGCAGCAACGCCGCGUGCGGGAUGACGGCCUUCGGGUUGUAAACCGCUUUCGCCUGUGACGAAGCGUGAGUGACGGUAAUGGGUAAAGAAGCACCGGCUAACUACGUG
Molecule: ribosomal RNA, 468 nt
Filed under: uncultured bacterium
Lineage: Bacteria
Description: partial 16S ribosomal RNA
Rfam family: Bacterial small subunit ribosomal RNA
Source: RNAcentral